Molecule: long non-coding RNA, 976 nt
Organism: Myxocyprinus asiaticus (Chinese sucker)
Lineage: Eukaryota; Metazoa; Chordata; Actinopteri; Cypriniformes; Catostomidae
Exons: 4
Source: RefSeq, a predicted model, not a curated record
GUGUGUAUAAUAUAUGUGUAAAAUGAUGCUUUAGGUGUGUGUGUAAUGUAUGUGUAAAUGAUGCUUUAGGUGUGUGUGUAAUGUAUGUGUAAAAUGAUGCUUUAGGUGUGUGUGUAAUGUAUGUGUAAAUGAUACUUUAGGUGUGUGUGUGUAAUGUACGUGUAAAAUGAUGCUUUAGGUGUGUGUGUAAUGUAUGUGUAAAUGAUACUUUAGGUGUGUGUGUGUAAUGUACAUGUAAAAUGAUGCUUUAGGUGUGUGUGUAAUGUACAUGUAAAAUGAUGCUUUAGGUGUGUGUGUAAUGUACGUGUAAAAUGAUACUUUAGGUGUGUGUGUGUAAUGUACAUGUAAAAUGAUGCUUUAGGUGUGUGUGUAAUGUACAUGUAAAAUGAUGCUUUAGGUGUGUGUGUAAUGUACGUGUAAAAUGAUGUUUUAGGUGUGUGUGUGUAAUGUACAUGUAAAAUGAUGCUUUAGGUGUGUGUGUAAUGUACAUGUAAAAUGAUGCUUUAGGUGUGUGUGUAAUGUACGUGUAAAAUGAUACUUUAGGUGUGUGUGUGUAAUGUACAUGUAAAAUGAUGCUUUAGUUGUGUGUGUAAUGUACAUGUAAAAUGAUGCUUUAGGUGUGUGUGUAAUGUACGUGUAAAAUGAUGCUUUAGGUGUGUGUGUGUGUAAUGUACGUGUAAAUGAUGCUUUAGGUGUGUGUGUAAUGUACGUGUAAAAUGAUGCUUUAGGUGUGUGUGUAAUGUAUGUGUAAAAUGAUGCUUUAGGUGUGUGUGUGUAAUGUACGUGUAAAAUGAUGCUUUAGGUGUGUGUGUGUGUAAUGUAUGUAUAAAUGAUACUUUAGGUGUGUGUGUAAUGUACAUGUAAAAUAAUGCUUUAGGUGUGUGUGUAAUGUACGUGUAGAAUAAUGCUUUAGGUGUGUGUGUAAUGUAUGUGUAAAAUGAUGCUUUAGGUGUGUGUGUAAUGGAUGUGUAAAUGA